GAUGAACGCUGGCGGCGUGCCUAAUACAUGCAAGUCGAGCGAACAGACGAGGAGCUUGCUCCUCUGACGUUAGCGGCGGACGGGUGAGUAACACGUGGAUAACCUACCUAUAAGACUGGGAUAACUUCGGGAAACCGGAGCUAAUACCGGAUAAUAUAUUGAACCGCAUGGUUCAAUAGUGAAAGACGGUUUUGCUGUCACUUAUAGAUGGAUCCGCGCCGCAUUAGCUAGUUGGUAAGGUAACGGCUUACCAAGGCAACGAUGCGUAGCCGACCUGAGAGGGGGGCGCGCCCACAGGGGAUGGGAGACCGGUCCCAGCCCCACAGGGGAGGCGCAGGUGGGAAUUCUCCAGAAAGGGGGGAAGCCCUGAGGGAACAGCGCCGGGGGAAUAAUAAGGGUUUGGGAAUCAAAACACUUUUUUAUGGGGAAAAAAAAAAUGUGAAAGUAACUAUGCACGUCUGGACGGUACCAAUAAAAAAAGCCACGGCAAACUACGU
RNAcentral lists this ribosomal RNA (497 nucleotides) under uncultured bacterium. Its description in RNAcentral is "partial 16S ribosomal RNA". It matches the Rfam family "Bacterial small subunit ribosomal RNA", at positions 28 to 506 of the family's 1533-position model. The record is from RNAcentral.